Molecule: long non-coding RNA, 2424 nt
Filed under: Triticum aestivum (bread wheat)
Lineage: Eukaryota; Viridiplantae; Streptophyta; Magnoliopsida; Poales; Poaceae
Description: long non-coding RNA (TAES_LNC015489)
Rfam family: MIR1120/MIR1122 microRNA precursor family (bases 707-793)
Source: RNAcentral
UCAUAUAGUCCAAACAAAGUUCAGUCAUAUCCAACACGAGCACGACAAGUUCACACGGUCACCAAGACACCAUAUAUCAGGUUCACAUUAUGUGCACCAAUCAGCUUUUAUUCCAUUAACUAAUUAUAUCACAUAUAUGCACUUUAGUUUGUUAGAAACAUAACCACCAAGACACCAUACAUCAGGUUCACAAAUGGACAACUAAAAGAUGUAAGUAUGGGAGAUGAGUUGUACAAAAUGGAAGCUAAAACAUCAAGUUGACAAGGAUAGCUGGCUUCUUCGUUCCUUGUGAGUGUCGUCCUUUUGUUUGCUUCCUACAAAAGUUAAAGAAUUCUCAAUUACAAUAGACUAUCAUAAGCUGCAUUUUGUUUGCUUGUUUUCAAUUUUCAAAUAUUCCAUAUGUGAGUACAGUACUUUUUUAAGGCAUGCAAUCCAAACACGUAACAAUCGAAAUAACAGUGUGAAAGCAUCAUAUGAGAGACACAUGUCAAGAAAAAAGGAAUCUGAUUUGGAAGAUUUUACCUAAAAUGCUUUUGACUUUUGACUCCUACAAUGCAAGCAAAUCAGUUUAGUAAUUGUGGGUUUUUUUGAUAAUAACAUAAGGGAGCAAAUAGUUAUUUGCUAUAGUACUACUACUACUACUCCUGGCCCUGUCCUAAAGGUAAAAGGCAAGACAAUACAGAGGCAUCCAUCCCUUGUUUAUACAGUACUCCCUCUGUCCCAUAAUGUAAGAUGUUUUUUGACACUAGUCUAGUGUCAAAAAACGUCCUACAUUAUGGGACGGAUGGAGUAGCUUUUAACCUUUCAUCUCUCCGAGGGGCAUAUAACUAGAAUAAUUAUUGGAAUGAACAAAUGUGGAAACAGUUCAUUAUUUGUAAAUAAUUAGAAUCGUUUGAUAUAAAUUUCAUCUUUCCGAGGGGCAUAUUACUUUAAUAUGAAGAAAAAGUCUCGCGUGGCAGAAGAUUCACAAGCAUUGCCAAGGACUACAAAUAAAAGUACUUAUUCAGUAAUUAGUAGCAAAAAGUUUGAGAGACCAUACAUGCAUAUCUAUAAGUAAUUAGAAACAACAAGUUUAAGAGGUUAAUUGCCUCAAAUGGGUUUCAGUAAGGCACAAGACAAGAAUCUAGCUAUGUUCUCUGAAUAAGCCAAAACGGAAGAACAUUAAGAAUUUACCAUCACUCUGAAAUGAAAACAGGAAAACAUAUACUGAAUUACUCUCAUUUUCUAUGAAUAAACGUAUCAAACCUAGCUAACCCUCGGUUUCUAGAAAAUAGGAUAGAUGCAGGCCAAAUUGAUUUUUAGUUAUUGCUACUGUCUAGAGCUCGUAAAAUCUUCCUUUUAACUAAAGCUCACCAAAUAGUUCGAUUCAUAAAUUCUUGAAGCUGAACAUGGCAUAUUCAUUCAUGCUGCAGCCCAAUAAUACAUGUAUAUAUAAAUGACUGAACCAUCCACGUCUCUCUCUCUCUCUCUCUCUCUGAAACCGAAUUGAUCUCUUCUUCUUUCUGUUCUAUACAAGUACGCACGAGUUAACUGAAACCCAAAGCACUCCGAGCUACAAGGACAUAUUCAGAUUGGAGUGUCACCAAACUGUGGCAAACUAAACUAGCACAUUGGAUUUGAUUGGCCCUAAAAGGCUAACUGCAAGCAAAGACUGGAGGAAGGAAGGAUCACCGGUCGAUGCUGCAGCAGCCCGCUGUUGAAGGCGUGGUGGUUCAGGCAGUGGAGGAAGACGAGGAGUAGAACAUGCCACUGGUGGCCUGCUAGGUGCGCCCCUCCUCCUCGAGUGGGGCAAGGACGGCAGCCGCUAGGCUCGUCGAGCUCGGAAUCCUAUGGAAGGAAGGCCUCCGCGCCGCCCUGUCCCGAGAUCCAGCGCUUCGACCCGUCCGCGUGAUGGGUGACCUGCAGCAAGGGAUUGAAAAAGAAGGUGAGUUAGGGUGAGGAGGGGAGGUUGGGCUGGCAGUUGCUGCGGAUCCCGGCGAGGAUGGAGAGGGUGUACCUACUUCAGCCACGCCGACGUGGGAGCCGCCAAAUCCCUAGCCGUGGGUGAGGGUAGGGGCCAUGCCCGGCGGAUCUGGCCAUACUGGAUGAAGGCCCGGUGAGAGGGGAGCGCGGAAGCCUGCUGCGCCCCGGUGGAAAUCGCCGGAACCCGCCGGCGUGGGCGGCGGCGAUGGCAUGGAGUCGCGUAGGGAGAGGGGGACUCGCGCGCGCGAGAGAGAGAGGAUAAGCAAAUCGAGCGGGUGGAGAAGGUAGAUCAGCUCGAGGGGGAGCAGUAGGUGGCAAGUACGGCAGCGAAGCAUGCCGGCAGUGGCCGGAAUCGAGCGGCGGCGCCAGCGGCGGAGACAGAGGGGAUCGGGCAGGAGAGCUGAGAGAGAUAUCGAGGGAGAAGUGAGAGAGAGAUGGAUGGAUUGGGUGGGUUUUUUUUUU